This 595-nucleotide ribosomal RNA is filed under the name uncultured Sphingomonadaceae bacterium. RNAcentral describes it as "bacterial SSU rRNA". It matches the Rfam family "Bacterial small subunit ribosomal RNA", at positions 8 to 649 of the family's 1533-position model. The record is from RNAcentral. Lineage: Bacteria; Pseudomonadati; Pseudomonadota; Alphaproteobacteria; Sphingomonadales; Sphingomonadaceae.
AGAGUUUGAUCCUGGCUCAGAACGAACGCUGGCGGCAUGCCUAACACAUGCAAGUCGAACGAAGGCUUCGGCCUUAGUGGCGCACGGGUGCGUAACGCGUGGGAAUCUGCCCCUCGGUUCGGAAUAACACAGAGAAAUUUGUGCUAAUACCGGAUGAUGACUUCGGUCCAAAGAUUUAUCGCCGAGGGAUGAGCCCGCGUAAGAUUAGGUAGUUGGUGGGGUAAAGGCCUACCAAGCCGACGAUCUUUAGCUGGUCUGAGAGGAUGAUCAGCCACACUGGGACUGAGACACGGCCCAGACUCCUACGGGAGGCAGCAGUGGGGAAUAUUGGACAAUGGGCGAAAGCCUGAUCCAGCAAUGCCGCGUGAGUGAUGAAGGCCUUAGGGUUGUAAGGCUCUUUUACCAGGGAUGAUAAUGACAGUACCUGGAGAAUAAGCUCCGGCUAACUCCGUGCCAGCAGCCGCGGUAAUACGGAGGGAGCUAGCGUUGUUCGGAAUUACUGGGCGUAAAGCGCACGUAGGCGGCUUCCCAAGUCAGAGGUGAAAGCCCGGGGCUCAACCCCGGAACUGCCUUUGAAACUAGCAAGCUAGAAUCU